ACAAAGCAUCAGAUCUGCAGCUUCAGGGUCCAAUUUCUGCUGUCCUCUCUCCAUCUCCUCUCCGCACCAUGGCCCAGGCCACUGUGACUCUCUGCCUCCUGGGGCUAUUCCUGGAAGGUUGCUAUGCUCAGGUGACUCAGCCACCCACAGCAUCUGUGUCUCUAGGAGGGACGGUCCGACUCUCCUGCACGUUAGGGGGCAGUUACACUGUCAGUAGCAACCGUGUGCUUUGGUUACAGCAGAAGCCGGGGAAUGCCCCCAGGUUCCUCCUGUACUUUUUCACUGAGUCUAAUAAAGGCAUGGGCUCCGGGGUUCCCAGCCGGUUCUCUGGCUCUCGCUCUGGUUCAGACAAGGAAGGCUAUUUAACAAUCUCUGGGGCCGUGGAAGAGGAUGAUGCUGAUUAUUACUGUACUACCUGGACUGGGAGUGCUUGCACAGUGCUGCAGGGCUGCAGGGAAGUGGGACAAGAACCACCCACCACCUGCGCCUCUCAGAUUACUAGACCAUAUGCCAGACAGUGCACACAGGCUCUUGAACCUAGUGCACCACCAGCACUGAAAGUCUGA
Non-coding RNA from Alligator mississippiensis (American alligator), 566 nucleotides. Lineage: Eukaryota; Metazoa; Chordata; Crocodylia; Alligatoridae. The record is from the annotation of a RefSeq genome assembly.